RNAcentral lists this ribosomal RNA (442 nucleotides) under uncultured bacterium. Its description in RNAcentral is "partial 16S ribosomal RNA". It matches the Rfam family "Bacterial small subunit ribosomal RNA", at positions 338 to 795 of the family's 1533-position model. The record is from RNAcentral.
CCUACGGGUGGCAGCAGUGGGGAAUAUUGGGCAAUGGGCGCAAGCCUGACCCAGCACCGCCGCGUGAAGGAAGAAGGCUUUCGGGUUGUAAACUUCUUUUGUCAGGGAAGAGUAGAAGACGGUACCUGACGAAUAAGCCACGGCUAACUACGUGCCAGCAGCCGCGGUACUCCGUAGGUGGCAAGCGUUGUCCGGAUUUACUGGGUGUAAAGGGCGUGUAGCCGGGUUGACAAGUCAGAUGUGAAAUCCUGCGGCUUAACCGCAGAACUGCAUUUGACACUGUUGAUCUUGAGUACUGGAGAGGCAGAUGGAAUUCCUAGUGUAGCGGUGAAAUGCGUAGAUAUUAGGAGGAACACGAGUGGCGAAGGCGGUCUGCUGGACAGCAACUGACGGUGAGGCGCGAAAGCGUGGGGAGCAAACAGGAUUAGAUACCCCGGUAGUC